UACGUAGGGUGCAAGCGUUGUCCGGAAUUAUUGGGCGUAAAGAGCUCGUAGGCGGUUUGUCGCGUCUGCUGUGAAAGACCGGGGCUCAACUCCGGUUCUGCAGUGGGUACGGGCAGACUAGAGUGCAGUAGGGGAGACUGGAAUUCCUGGUGUAGCGGUGAAAUGCGCAGAUAUCAGGAGGAACACCGAUGGCGAAGGCAGGUCGCUGGGCCAUUCCUGACGCUGAGACGCGAAAGCUAGGGGAGCGAACAGG
This 253-nucleotide ribosomal RNA is filed under the name uncultured bacterium. RNAcentral's name for it is "partial 16S ribosomal RNA". It matches the Rfam family "Bacterial small subunit ribosomal RNA", at positions 524 to 776 of the family's 1533-position model. The record is from RNAcentral.